CGCAGGACUUUUGACGGCUCGGUGAGAUGAACUCAUAAGGGACUUCACAAGGACUCACGGUAACUCCCUCAGAUGCCCCAGUCAAUACCCCGCACCCAGAGACUUGCAAUCCACCAUGCAGGCAAGCCCGUGAGGACCCCCGAUGGGGAUCACCGUUUAUAACAGUUUAUAAUUGUGUUUUGGACACACACUUGUUUUUCCAUGUUAAUGUUAAUAAUGAUAGAAUGUAACAACACAGAGACAACCCUGACCACACAACACGACAUACAAGCCCAAAUAGGCACAAAACAUGCCAUAGGGUACUGGUUUCUACACCUGGUGUACAGGUGGCCCAGCGGGGCACCGUCUAAAAUUCAUUAGCCCAUUUACUUACGUCAUGACUUUUCUGGGAGCUGCAAACUGCCCGGCCACUACUGUGAGGCAUAACAUGCCAUCACAAAACCCACAUCGACACAGCUAAGCUGAGACAGCUAAUCACAACUCACUUAACCCUACCUUGACAGUAUAGCGGCCUAGCCGAGCAUGAGUUAUUCCUCAAAGAACUGACACACAAUUUACCUAAGUACUACUUCUAAGCCGACCACUACUACACGGUAACCAAUAAUAUUGCACUAAACACACGGUAGUGUAAGCCACAUUAACGCAGUUAACGAUACUCACUCACUACUAUUCUG
Non-coding RNA from Pelobates cultripes (western spadefoot toad), 674 nucleotides. The record is from the annotation of a GenBank genome assembly. Lineage: Eukaryota; Metazoa; Chordata; Amphibia; Anura; Pelobatidae.